AAACAAUCACCAUGCAGAAAGGUUACAAACAGUUCUAAAUAGCAAAUAACGGGAUUCAAACGUAGACUGUGGGGAAAGUGAAAUGUUUAAAGAAACCACAACGUGUUUUAACUUUUUAUCCUCAGCUUUUUACAUCUCUAUAAUGCUUAAUUAAGCAUAAUACGUUAUAAGGAAUUCAUGACAGUCGUGUCAACGCUGCCCAGAGCUACAGCAUUACGCGCGCUACUAAAUCAAAUUGUAUUGCUCACAUACACGUCCCAUGGGUGACUACAAUUUAUGCAGUGUCUGUGAGUCUGUAAAACUGGGAAAUGUCAUAAAGAUACAUGAAGAUAAUACAUAGUGACGUGUAGCGCACAAUAAUCUACACAUUCUUGCAGACGAACGGAGCGCUGUCCAUCCCUAAGCGACAUCGCACUUCAAGUCGUGGACUAGUCCGAAGUGGUGAUCAGGACGAGAUGCUGCUUCCUAAACCAUUCCAGAUGACUAUGACCAAAACCGGCGGCUGUAUUUAAAUAAGAACUAAGGGUGUGAAUGUUGAGAAAGGACAACAUGGGGAAAGGAGUGGCUCUGUUCCUUCUACUGUUGGCACUUCUUCACGAGGCCAUAGGCCAGAAAAGACGAAAAGGAAAGUAUAGUGUCCUCAGAGAUGGAGGAAAUGACAUGACAACAUGCUCCAUGGAGGUGGCCUUCAUUCUGGACAGUUCGGAGAGCGCCAAGACCUUCCUGUUCGAGAAGCAGAAGUCCUUUGUUCUGCAUUUCAGCACUCGUCUCACCAUGCUCCAGUUGUCUGGAUGGACCCUAAAGUUCCGGAUGGCUGCUCUCCAGUACAGCAGCUCCGUGUCUGUAGAGCACAGCUUCACUGCCUGGCAGGACCUGGAUGUGUUCCACAGCAGAGUCAGCUCCAUGGCCUACAUUGGCCAUGGCACCUACUCCACCUACGCCAUCACCAACGCCACGCAGCUCUUCACCCAGGAGACCAAGGAGGACAGCGUCAGGGUGGCGGUGCUCAUGACCGACGGUGCCGAUCAUCCGAGGAACCCUGAUGUGAUCGGAGCAGCAGCGGAUGCUAAGGGUAGUGGCGUGAAGCUUUUUGCUGUAGGGUUGUCGGACCUGGCCCGCCAGAGCCAGAACAGUGCCAAACUCCGGGCUAUCGCCAGCACACCGACCAAGCAAUUCGUCCACAGUCUCACUGACCCCCAGCUAGAGGAGAAGUUACUGAAAGAGUUGGGUGCAAUAGCGCUUGAGACGUGUCCACAGGCUAAAGUGUGUUUGUGUGAAAGAGGGGAGAGAGGCCCUCCUGGAAACCCAGGUCAAAAAGGAGAUCCAGGAUAUGAAGGACCAUCUGGUCCAAAAGGAUCAAGGGGAGAACCGGGAGUCAGUGGCCGACCAGGAAGUGACGGUCUUGAGGGCAGUCCUGGUUAUAAAGGUGACAAGGGGGUGAUAGGAGACUGUGGCACCCCUGGGGGAAAAGGAGAUGAAGGCCCUGGAGGACCUCCUGGCCCACGGGGACCCAGAGGAGACCAGGGUGUUAACGGACCACCCGGGGACCAGGGUCCGGAGGGCCAAACAGGACCUAAAGGGGACCAAGGAACCACCGGUGCAUCUGGACCAGCAGGUGACAUUGGCAUUGGGUUCCCAGGUCCAAAGGGGGCCAAAGGAAUUCAGGGAAGACCAGGAACCCUUGGUCCCAUUGGAAUUGGAGAGCCAGGACAGCCAGGACCCCCAGGACUUGCUGGAGCUCAGGGUAACCAGGGAGCUGUUGGGGAGGGGCUCCCUGGCCCAAAGGGGGAUCGAGGCUACGAGGGCCCCAGAGGUGAGCGUGGUCUCACUGGUGUUGGGGUCAAAGGUGAUAAGGGAAAUCCUGGACAGCUUGGAUCACAAGGACCGGUGGGAAUGCCAGGGGCAGGAAUUCAAGGAGAAAAGGGGAACCAAGGGCCAGUUGGCCCUCCAGGCCCCAGAGGGAAUCCAGGUGUGGGACUUAUGGGCCAAAAGGGAAGCCAAGGCUUCUCAGGUGAGCCUGGAAUCCCAGGGGAGAGUGGUGUUGGGGAGCCAGGACCUAAAGGAGAACCAGGAUCGGAGGGGUUACCUGGUAUUCCGGGCCUCUCUGGAGAGGAUGGAGACAUAGGACAGAAGGGUGACAUUGGGUUACAUGGGCCCAGGGGACCUGAUGGGGCACCCGGAAAAGGUGUCCCUGGAGAAAAGGGGGACCGAGGGGAGCGGGGCUCCAGGGGCCAGCUAGGGGCAGUAGGGCCUGUGGGGCCAAUGGGGGCCAAGGGUGAAACCGGAAGUGCUGGACGAGCAGGUACAAAUGGACCACCUGGGCGGGGUUUACCCGGAAUCAAGGGGGACCCUGGUGCAGUAGGCCCACCCGGACAUGUUGGUGAACCAGGAAUAGGAAUCACUGGACCGAAGGGUGAGAGAGGGCUACCAGGGCCCAUUGGUCCAGCUGGGCUUAAAGGGGAAGGCCUUCCUGGAACCCCAGGAGCCCCUGGAGUACCAGGACUGACAGGUGAGAUUGGACCAGAAGGAAAAGGUUUACCUGGUCCUAAGGGAGACCGGGGAACUCCAGGCCCCACAGGACUAGCUGGAGCACCAGGAGUUGGGCUAAUGGGUCCCAAGGGGUCAGCUGGUCAGAUUGGAGCACCGGGUCCCCAGGGACUGCCUGGAGAGGGCAUUCAAGGACCAAAGGGGGAGUCAGGAUUCCAGGGGAUCACGGGCCCCAGGGGGCCCCCAGGACAGGGUAUUCAAGGGGAUAAGGGAGACAGGGGGUUCGUGGGCGAACGAGGCAGAAAGGGGGACAGUGGAGAGACUGGAGAGACAGGAGCUCCUGGACCUUUGGGCAGACUGGGAGAAAAAGGGGAAGCUGGCCUAACAAGAGAGGAGGUCAUCAAACUGGUCAGAUCUAUAUGUGGUUGUGGGGUGAAGUGCCGUGAGAGCCCACUGGAGUUGGUCUUUGUGAUUGACAGCUCAGAGAGUGUGGGCCCUGACAACUUCAACGUGGUUAAGGACUUUGUGAACGCUCUGGUCGACCGUGCCUCCGUGAGCCGGGAGACCACUCGCAUCGGGGUGGUCCUCUACAGCCACAUCAACAUGGUGGUGGUCAGUCUGCACCAGCAAGCCAGCCGGGACCAGGUGAAGAAGGCGGUUCGCACUAUGACCUACCUGGGCGAAGGCACCUUUACGGGCAGCGCCAUCCAUCAGGCCAACCAGGUGUUCCGGGCGGCCAGGCCCGGGUGAGGAAAGUGGCCAUAGUGAUCACAGAUGGACAGGCGGACGAGAGGGACUCUGUGAGGCUGGAGGAGGCAGUGAAAGAGGCCAAUGGCAGUAACAUUGAGACGUUUGUCAUCGGGGUGGUGAACCAGAGUGAUCCGCUGUACGAGGAGUUUAAGAAAGAGCUCCACCUCAUGGCCUCUGACCCAGACAGGGAACACGUCUACCUGAUUGAUGACUUCAGGACACUUCCUGCCCUUGAGAGCAAGCUGCUGAGUCGGAUCUGUGAGAGUGAUGGCGGGGCCCAAUUCAGCUCCAUCCCUAGCUCCAGAUACUCUCCCGGAACCCCUGGACAAGCCGGGAUUGUCAGGGAAACCCCAGAGAGGACUGAUACUGACACGCCCACUUUCAAUGGAGACUUUACAAAAACACAGAUGGUGCCAGGUCCACCAGGAGAGUCAGACAAAGUCUUUAUCCCACAGGGCCCCCAGAUCGGGGACCGAGAUAACUCUGAGACCUACAGGGUACCAUCCUUUGACAGGGAACCCUUCAAGCGCCUACCAGAGUUCCUUCUUCCGUCAGAGAUGAAGAACCCCUCCCACAGUGUGGUCACGACGGGCUCCCAGGCCCCCACCCAGAGGCCCCAUCCCGUAGUAAAGCUACCCGGGCUCCCCCCAACCUCUCCCCCAACCUCUCCACCUCUGCCCCAGGAUGCUUUAAUACCAGAUGAGAGAUGUGGACAGAUUCUGGACCCCGGGCCUUGCAGGAAUUACUUUGUGAAGUGGUACUAUGACACUACGGCUAACGCCUGUGCCCAGUUCUGGUUCGGAGGCUGUCAGGGAAACCAAAACCGAUUUGAAUCGGAGAAGAGCUGCAAAAAAACCUGUGUUAAGUUCUAACAUACACACAUUUGUUGACUUGUUUUGAAUGCUUAUAAAUCUACUUGACUGUAUUGAUAAGACAUGAUAUAUUUGGGUCAAAGGUGGGUCAAUUUCAAUAUCAGUGCCUUAUCGCUUCACCAAUACUUUGACAUGUGGAUAGAAAUGGAUAGAAAACUUGUCGGAGAGAGUACUAGGUGAUGUUGGGACCAAAUGUUCGAUCACAGUUAUUUUGGAUUCGUAUUCCCUCGUCUUGGAACUGUUGGCGGUAACAUGGCACCAAUUCAAUUUAACUUGAAUUAAAUAUAAUUUAUCCCCUCAGGGGCAAUAAGCUAUUUACAUAACUCUGUAUAUGUGUGUCUUUGUUUUAACAUAAGCUCCCUCAUUUCUUGGAGGUAACUGUAAGUGAAUGAGACUUAGGGCUUUUGAAAGAAGUAUAGAGUGAGGGAACCAUUCCAUUUAUUCAUGUUCAAGAUGGGGUAAUAAGGGCAGUGCGAAACGUAUUGAUUUCCAAAAACACUGUUGAACACUAAAUGGUAAUGUUGCAAAUGUGGCAGGUCUUAACACUAACCUUUAUCCUGAUUAACUUUUCUAUAAGUAACUCAUUUGUAUGAAAACUGACUGCUGGAUAUUAUUGUUUAUAACACUGCACAAUUUCAUUAAAGUUAAUUAAAUGAA
Molecule: non-coding RNA, 4766 nt
Organism: Salmo salar (Atlantic salmon)
Lineage: Eukaryota; Metazoa; Chordata; Actinopteri; Salmoniformes; Salmonidae
Source: RefSeq, a predicted model, not a curated record